RNAcentral lists this ribosomal RNA (651 nucleotides) under Vibrio sp. RNAcentral's name for it is "bacterial SSU rRNA". It matches the Rfam family "Bacterial small subunit ribosomal RNA", at positions 74 to 713 of the family's 1533-position model. The record is from RNAcentral. Lineage: Bacteria; Pseudomonadati; Pseudomonadota; Gammaproteobacteria; Vibrionales; Vibrionaceae.
GACCCUUCGGGGAACGACAACGGCGUCGAGCGGCGGACGGGUGAGUAAUGCCUGGGAAAUUGCCCUGAUGUGGGGGAUAACCAUUGGAAACGAUGGCUAAUACCGCAUAAUAGCUUCGGCUCAAAGAGGGGGACCUUCGGGCCUCUCGCGUCAGGAUAUGCCCAGGUGGGAUUAGCUAGUUGGUGAGGUAAAGGCUCACCAAGGCGACGAUCCCUAGCUGGUCUGAGAGGAUGAUCAGCCACACUGGAACUGAGACACGGUCCAGACUCCUACGGGAGGCAGCAGUGGGGAAUAUUGCACAAUGGGCGCAAGCCUGAUGCAGCCAUGCCGCGUGUGUGAAGAAGGCCUUCGGGUUGUAAAGCACUUUCAGCAGUGAGGAAGGGUGUGUAUUUAAUAGAUGCGCAUUUUGACGUUAGCUGCAGAAGAAGCACCGGCUAACUCCGUGCCAGCAGCCGCGGUAAUACGGAGGGUGCGAGCGUUAAUCGGAAUUACUGGGCGUAAAGCGCAUGCAGGUGGUUUGUUAAGUCAGAUGUGAAAGCCCGGGGCUCAACCUCGGAACUGCAUUUGAAACUGGCAGGCUAGAGUACUGUAGAGGGGGGUAGAAUUUCAGGUGUAGCGGUGAAAUGCGUAGAGAUCUGAAGGAAUACCGGU